GAUGAACGCUGGCGGCGUGCCUAAUACAUGCAAGUCGAGCGAACAGACGAGGAGCUUGCUCCUCUGACGUUAGCGGCGGACGGGUUAGUAACACGUGGAUAACCUACCUAUAAGACUGUGAUAACUUCGGGAAACCGGAGCUAAUACCGGAUAAUAUAUUGAACCGCAUGGUUCAAUAGUGAAAGACGGUUUUGCUGUCACUUAUAGAUGUAUCCGCGCCGCAUUAGCUAGUUGGUAAGGUAACGGCUUACCAAGGCAACGAUGCGUAGCCGACCUGAGAGGGUUAUCAGCCGCACUGGAACCGGGACAAGGUACAGACUACUAAGGGAGGCAGCAGUAGGGAAUCUUGCGCAAUGGGCGAAAGCCUGAAGGAGGAACGCCGCGUGAGUGAGGAAGGUCUUCGGAUUGUAAAACUCUGUUAUUAGGGAAGAACAAAUGUGUAAGUAACGAUGCACGUCUUGACGGUACCUAAUCAGAAAGCCACGGCUAACUACGUG
Molecule: ribosomal RNA, 497 nt
Filed under: uncultured bacterium
Lineage: Bacteria
Description: partial 16S ribosomal RNA
Rfam family: Bacterial small subunit ribosomal RNA
Source: RNAcentral